This 254-nucleotide ribosomal RNA is filed under the name uncultured bacterium. Its description in RNAcentral is "partial 16S ribosomal RNA". It matches the Rfam family "Bacterial small subunit ribosomal RNA", at positions 524 to 777 of the family's 1533-position model. The record is from RNAcentral.
UACGUAGGUGACAAGCGUUGUCCGGAUUUACUGGGCGUAAAGAGCGCGCAGGCGGUCGUUCAAGUCGAGUGUGAAAGCCCCCGGCUCAACUGGGGAGGGUCAUUCGAUACUGAUCGACUCGAAGGCAGGAGAGGGUAGUGGAAUUCCCGGUGUAGUGGUGAAAUGCGUAGAUAUUGGGAGGAACACCAGUGGCGAAGGCAGGUCACUGGGCCGCAACUGACGCUGAGGAGCGAAAGCAUGGGGAGCGAACGAGG